GGACUGACCCUUCAUCCUCAUGGAUACCGGUGGUGUUUGUCACUGCUGAACCACAAAAGGAAGUCCCAGAGUGACAUUCUGAUGCAUGUCCUAGUUUAUCUCGCUUGAGUGGUUGGGGAAGAGAAGGGCUGUGAAAGAACAGAGCUUUUAUAAAACAGAAUAACAGGGUGGCUGGGCUUCUGUGCUGCCGUGGUUACAAAACACUGAGAGAAGUCAUAAGAAAUUGACAGUAAUUAGAGUUUCCCAGCGCUGGAGAGUUAGGACUGGGAUGUUUUCAUUCCACAAGCGUCACCUAAGCACCUGCCUGCACAAAGCUCUUGACUAGGACCCUUCUGUGCUGCAAACACAUAUCUAAUGCUUAGGAGUUCCUUCUUUCACUCACUUAUUCCAUAAAUCUGUGAGUGUUUAUUACAUGCCAAGAACUGUUCCAGGGGCUGUGGAUAGAAUGACAAAUACCCCAGGGUCCUGAGCUCUGGAGCCUUGCAGAAUAUGAGGAGGCUGGCCGAUAAUAAGCCUCAGAUGCAAGCUUGAUCAGCAAUAGCUGGGGGAACUUGGGGAGCACAGAGAAAGGAUGCCAAACCCAGGCUCUUGAUGCUUGCGAGUCAAUCUCAGGUUUGGGCACCGCUAGGAACGGCAUCCGGAAGAGUUUCAAGAUGAGGAACCGGCUCUCAGCUGUGGAGCUGAGUGAAGGAGGUGGAUGUGGCUUCAACCCUUGGUUUUUCCACUGCUCACCAGGAGGUCAGUUCUAGAAGGACCAAUGGAGUCCAGGCAGGAGGUUAUGGAAGAAAAUUAAGAGCAAAUGGUUACACUCUGAGUGAUAGAAAUAUGCUUGAAAUUAGAUUAUACUAGGAAGCUGACAAUGCUAGGUGUCCCCUGGUGUGAUCAAACCUGGAUGAAGAUUUAGACAAAUCAAGUUCAUUAGCAGCAGCCUGAUAAGCCCAAAGACAAGUGUUCAUUCACUCAGGGGAGUUGAACUGCCCAGUCAAGGAGACUACCUGUGAUUUUUCUCUUGUGAACCGCCUGUGUGGCUCUAGGACUUACGCAAAUGAUCUUUGAAUGUUGGGACUUAUGCAAAUGAUCUUUGAAUGUUGGGACUUAUGCAAAUGAGAUUUGGAUGUUGGGACUUAUGCAAAUGAUCUUUGAAUGUUGGGACUUAUGCAGAUGACUUUGAAUGUUGGGACUUAUGCAAAUGAGCUUUGACUGCUGGGACUUAUGCAAACAUGCUUUGAAUAUGGAUGAAGUCUGUCUCUCCAUCAGUUGCAGACUGCCGCUGCUCCUCCCCUCCCAAUCCAGUUUUUCUUUCUCGUCUCGCUCGGUUCUUUGAAUGGUUUUGCUCCUCCAUUUCUAAGACCUCCUUCAGUAUCACCCCAUCCUGGGUCAGUUACAGGUCAUGUUCAACUCCAAGGAACAGAAAACUUGACUCAACAAUGGCUUCAACAGAUCAGGAGGUUUAAUUUUCCUUUUUGGCCAUGGCCAGCACUGGCGGAGAGACCGAGGGAGUUAAGGCUGAGAUAGCUGCCAAUUUUUGCCGCAAUCCUGUUAUCAUAACCAUAUUCUAAAUGGAAAGAGCAGGAAGCACCCAGGAGGAAUGGGAAAUCCCUGUGUUUGAAACGCAAAACCAGUCCAGAAAUGGCCCACAGACUUCUCCUGGGUCUCAUCAGUCAGAGCUGAGGUUGAGCCUACCCAGCCAGGAAGGCGGCUGGAAGGUACCGUUUUUCACCUGAGACCGUUGCUGCCUCACACAGAUCCGUGAGGCCAGACCUUCGAGAACAUCAAGCGAAACCAGCUGCCAACAGGAUCACAAAUGUGUGCAGUCCCGUGAGAGGACGUGCGUCCUCACAGAGUUUGGGGUUUCUCUUCCAACUUCCCGGUCCUGUCCCAGUUCCCGUGGGAGACUCAAGGCAGAAUCGGGAGCAGCUCACAGACUGGCUUUGAGGACCUUGCCACCCAGUGGGGAGAUCCACGCAAACCCAGCCAGCAUGUCAACAGUGCACUAGAGAAAGCAUGUGAAGGAAAAGAAUUUUCUUUGGUUCACAUCAUCACUGAGCAUCGUGUACCUAACCUCAUCCUUCUAUGAAGUCUUUGAAAAAAGACUGCUUUAUUUGGAAAUGCGACAUCCUGCCAAAUGGUCUCAAGAUAUAUCUGCUAUUUGAUUCUGGAUAAUCUCCACCUUGCCACAUCUCAGGUCCAAUGUGAAAUGUUGAUCUAUUAAUUUUUAAGUGGAAACCCUGGAUGCUAUGUAUAAAACCAUGAAACGAGGAAAGAAGAGGGCAGAUCAGCUAGAGACCCUGGGACCCAAAGAAUGGCACAGUGGUGAGUUCCCAGUUUCUUUUUGUGUCAUGUGCCCCAAGCUUAGACCUGAAGAAGCAGGCAGCUGGGAAACACCUAUGGGCCAGAUAAGAGAAAGUCCCAGGUGAAGCCAGCCCUCUCCAUGCCCUCUGUCUUCUCUCCAGGCCCGCUCUAUGGUCUCUCCAGGCCCUCUCUGUGCUCUCUCCAGGCCCUCUCCAGCCAAAGGAGCUGGGACAGGGCCAUCUGGGAAGACAGGUUAUUUUAGACAAUAGCUGUUCUACUCCAGUCAAAUACCACAGCAAAAAACUGUGGUCCCAUGCAUGCCAGAAAAGGCCACAUAGGGAGCCUAGACUUAAACUUUGCAGGCUUCAAAGAGAUACCCCUACCCCAUGCCCUUCCCUAUCCUACGAGGGGGUGAUAUCAGAGAAAGCUGAUAACCCCACCCAACAGUAGCAGAGUGCACAUUUUCUACAAGUGCCCACAGAGCAGGUAUCACAUCACGAUAGACCAUAUUUGGGCCAUAGUGGAAUCAAAUUAGAAAUCAGUAACAGGGAGACACAUGCACCCGCAUGUUCAUUGCAGCACUAUUCACAAUAGCCAGGACGUGGAAACAACCCAAAUGU
Molecule: non-coding RNA, 2912 nt
Organism: Sus scrofa (pig)
Lineage: Eukaryota; Metazoa; Chordata; Mammalia; Artiodactyla; Suidae
Source: RefSeq, a predicted model, not a curated record